UACGUAGGGCGCAAGCGUUGUCCGGAAUUAUUGGGCGUAAAGAGCUCGUAGGCGGUUUGUCGCGUCUGCUGUGAAAACCUGAGGCUCAACCUCGGGCUUGCAGUGGGUACGGGCAGACUAGAGUGCGGUAGGGGUGACUGGAAUUCCUGGUGUAGCGGUGGAAUGCGCAGAUAUCAGGAGGAACACCGAUGGCCAAGGCAGGUCACUGGGCCGCAACUGACGCUGAGGAGCGAAAGCAUGGGGAGCGAACAGG
RNAcentral lists this ribosomal RNA (253 nucleotides) under uncultured bacterium. Its description in RNAcentral is "partial 16S ribosomal RNA". It matches the Rfam family "Bacterial small subunit ribosomal RNA", at positions 524 to 776 of the family's 1533-position model. The record is from RNAcentral.